RNAcentral lists this ribosomal RNA (291 nucleotides) under Triticum aestivum (bread wheat). RNAcentral's name for it is "partial small subunit ribosomal RNA". The record is from RNAcentral. Lineage: Eukaryota; Viridiplantae; Streptophyta; Magnoliopsida; Poales; Poaceae.
AUGCUGCAAUUCCCGGCGCUGAUGCGGCAGUGGCCGUCGCCGCCGCUGAUUCCGGCGUCCACACUCCUCCCCGUGCCCGCAACUACCCAGGAGGACGAGCUCCUCCUCGCCAUGGCCGAGUCCGACCUCGAGGACAAGCUGAACGCGAUCCGCAAGACCAACAGCAACCUGGUGAUCAUAGGCAAGCCCACCAACGACGUCAAGGAGGAGUACGACGCGGAGGUGGAGGAGGACGACGUCGACAACGUCGACGAGUCCGACGGGGACGACUUCGACCAAGAAACCGGCUGA